Molecule: RNA transcript, 1856 nt
Organism: Beta vulgaris subsp. vulgaris (sugar beet)
Lineage: Eukaryota; Viridiplantae; Streptophyta; Magnoliopsida; Caryophyllales; Amaranthaceae
Gene name: F-box protein CPR1
Exons: 2
Source: RefSeq, a predicted model, not a curated record
ACAUAAAAUCCAUACCCGCUCCACCACCCAUUACGGGUAGGAUUUUAAUCCUCAUCAAACGUAGACCCAUCACCGCCAAACGUAGACCCAUCACCGCCCCACUUGGGCUGAAAUGGGACGAGUCUCCUACUUGACCUGCGCCACUGCCAUCCCUAUUACCAACCAACCCACAUCCUGCACUUUUUCCCCGCAAAUGCAAAGCGAAAGACUGAAGAGUGAGACUGAGAGAGAGAGGAGACAGAAAAGUUGAGAGAUGGAAGAAGGUCUUGGCAAUGGUGAAUAAGGUCUUCCUCACGAUUUAAUUGCCCACCACAUUUUAACGAAGCUGCCCAUCAAAUCUCUGCUUCGGUUAAAAAUCGUUUCCAAAGAAUGGUAUUCCACUAUCUCUUCUUCUCAAUUUGCUCUUACUUUUUCCAAAUUAUCUCCAUCUCUUCAUCACACUUCCCCAAUUGAAUUCCUGUUCAUUACAAAUGGAGGCAAUUAUUACCUAUAUUCAUAUGAUGAAGAUGAUGAAAUUGAUACUUCAUAUAUUAGGAACAAGAAUCUAGUAAAAUUAGGGUUUAAUUUUGACGUUUCUAUCUAUGAGAAGCUUGAUUUGAUAGGCUCCUGUAAUGGGUUUGUAUGCUUAGCUUCUUCUGAUGGCAAUUACUUCAUUCUGUGGAACCCAAUUACUGGGCAAUUCCGAAAAUACUUUGACAAUGAACUUGUAAUUGAUUCUUCUUGCCCUGUUCGGAUGUCGUGGGGAUUCGGGUAUGUCUCCGGUGUCAAUGAUUAUAAGGUUGUUAGAAUACUUGAACUGGCUGCUACCCUAGAAAUUAAGGUUCAUGUUUUUUCACUUAAAUCAAACAAGUGGAAAAGAAUCGACGAAUAUCAUUAUCAAGAUAUCUUCUCAUUGAGUUAUAUGUCGCCAAGCAAAUUUCGAUUUAUUCAUAAUGGCACUUUUGCUUGGUUUCCCUCGAAGUUCGAUGGGAGACAAGGAGUUAUGGUUGAUGAGACUCUAUAUUGGGUUGUAUACAGUAGUAACAAUCAGGGUAGGAACAUUGUUUCGUUUGAUUUAGUUUCUGAGGAGUUCAAUACAACUGUGGACUUGAACAUGGUUUCAACUUGUGUGUAUGAUGGCAAGUUUUUAUGUGUCUUGGGAGGAUGUUUGUCGAAGUGUGCCGUCAACAUGCGUUGUGAUGUUUUUAUAAGAAUGUUGAAGUCUCCGGGGAAGGUUGAAAGUAUACGUCUUUCCAGAGACUUGGGGUUGAGCUUAUGCCAGGACAUUGUUGGAUUCACAAGGACUGGUAAGUUUUUCAUCCUGUUGGAUAAUUGGAUACUCGGACUUGUGGACCCAAGUUCACAUCCAGUGAAGUGCGUGCGGCUCGUAGUAUUUAAUAGCUUGACUAUGUCUCGUGUUGCAAGUUAUGUUCCAAGUCUAACUUUACCUUACACCAUUAACGAGUAGUGAGGUUCUUAGCUUUCAUUGGCAUUAUGCGUAACCAAUGAAGCACGUCAGGUCCGGCAGUGAGGAGUUCCUUCUUUGACGAUGCCGACUUCAGAGUCACUAUCGUAAAAGCGAGGGAAUGACAGUUUGCUGCAACAUACUUUGAACAGGAUGAGGAAAAAUAAUUCUUAAUACUUCGAAAUGUGACUAACGAACUAGAGUGGGUAGUAUAUGAAGAUAUGUGGAUAAAAACUCUCACAAAAGGCACAAUCUGAUGUUUUCUUUGUAUGCUCUAACCAUGUACUAGUGCAAUCUCUCAUGUAUUCCUUGCUGCUUUAGCACCUUUUUCAUAAUUAUGCUACAAUCUUUUGUUUCCACAUAAUGCUUAUAUCAAUUAUCAGUGGUUGUCAGUUGGCACUAUUGUUUGGUA